CACAUUCAACCAACAGUUUUCAUGAUUAUUGUAUCUUGAUUGUUGCAAUAUGCUCACCGGAAAUGUGUCCAUAGAUGGUGCAAUGUAAAGGGGGACAUCAUCUGUGAGAUUUGCCUGCAGCAAUACAGGCCUGGUUAUAUGGCACCACCUCCUUUAUAUCAUUAUGGAGUUGAUCAUUUGAACUUCGGAGGGAAUUGGGAGAUUUCCGGGAGAGACUUGCGAGGUCCGCAUU
This is a long non-coding RNA of Hibiscus syriacus, 232 nucleotides long. RefSeq lists it as uncharacterized. The record is from RefSeq and is a predicted model, not a curated record. The transcript is spliced from 3 exons. Lineage: Eukaryota; Viridiplantae; Streptophyta; Magnoliopsida; Malvales; Malvaceae.